AAAAAAAAAAAAACCCUUUCGUCUCUGAACCCAGACUCAUAAACAUUGAGUGUAGGCGUGUAGCUAAACCCAGACUUAUGAACCUUUGUCUCUGAACAAUCCCUACGCCUUUACUAUCCAUCUCCAUUACUUUCAACUCACAAUCUCAAAUUCCAGGGUACUAUUGUCGGCAAAAGCUAGCAAGGAUAUUGAGGAAUCAAGGGUACUAUUGUCAGCAAAUUUCAAGGUAAUUGAGAAAUCAAUCUUGUUCUCUCUUGCUUGCUACCUCCUUCUAAUGGAUAAGGUAAGCUAGUCUUCAGAAAGUUAUUUCAAUUUUGUUCUUUUGUUUCUGAAAUUGAUCUACUCACAGAUUUGGUUGUUGUUAUUUUUGCGAGGUAAAUACUGGUAGUUAUAAGGUUGUCACUGUAUAUAUGCUUGCUAGUCUAUGUUUAGAGUUGAUUAAGCUUCUUGUUGUUAUUUUCUCCAUCAACUGGAAAUGUUAGGUUACUCUUUGUUGAUUGGUUAUGGUUGAUAAUUGCUAUUUCGUUAGGGGAAGGAGGUUUGAUUAUGAUGGGAAAGGUAAAAUGUUAGGUGUUAGGACGGGACCAUAAGAGAAUAGCCAGAGUUAGAUUCAGCUUUGAUUACCAUGGCCAAGUUGCAAAUGUCUUGCUGUUCUGGAGGUGCAAGGAGAAACUGAGUGUCGGGCUCUAUAUAUUUGUUUUUCCAAAUCCUCCAAGUUUCAUUACUUAAGUGUCAAUUGUGUUUUGUCUUUGCUAUUUCUGCUGUUAGUAACAUGGUUCUUUUGUUUCUCUUUUUUGGUCUGAUACCUUUUUGAGCUUAACUGUAUAUGCAUAGCUUUGCUACCACACAUGAUUGUUUUCUAGGGGACUAAAUCCCCUUGGGGAGAUUUCCCUUCAUUUGGAUCCGCUUUGAGAUUUCAGUCAUUUCACCUCACUUUGAUCCGUGUUGAGGGAUUUUACCUCAUUUGGAUAUGCUUUGAGGAGAUUUCACCUCACUAUAAUUAAUACGCCUUGUGGGAAUUUGACCUCACUUGGAUCCGUCUUGAGGAGAUUAAUUUCACUCACUAAGGUCUGUCUUGAGGGAAUUUAACCUCACUUGGAUAUGUUUUGAAGAGAUUUUACCUCACUUGGAUCUUCCUUAAGGAGAUUUCAUUUCACUUGGAUCUUCCUUAAGGAUAUUUCAUCUUGACUACUCUUUUAGCUCUUCUUCCCUAUCAGGGAUAAGGAUAGGUGGCUGACAGUCUGUUAGAGGAGGGAGGAGAAAGAAAGAAAAGGAACAGAGAGAGGGAUGGAAAGAAAGAAAGGGAACAGAGAGAGGGAUGGAAAGAAAGAAAGGGAACAAAGAGGGGAGGGAGGGAAAGAAAGAAAGAGAAGAGGGGGAGGAGGAGAAAGAAAGAGACCAUGGAAAAAAAAUAGAGAAGGAAGAAAGAAAACGGAGUCGAAGAUAAAAGUAGAUGUGUGAGGGGAAGAGAGUUUUUGACAUUUGAGAGAGAAAGAAUCAGGGUUUUAAUCUUGCAGACUUUUUUGUGAGUGUUUAAGAAAUCCAAGCCUAGAGUUUUGAUUACUGUAAGUUUGAGGAAGGUGUGAGCAUGAUUUCAUGGUUUUGAGUUUCACCUUUGAGAUUUCCAGAGUUGGGGGUAUUUAAAGAGGUUGAGAUUUUUAGCAGAGGUUGAGCUUUAUUUCGGUGAACUCUAUGGCUUUUGUUUCUGUUUAAGAUACGAGUUCACUCGAUUUGGCUUUCCAUUAGCUAGAAGGGGAAGUUACCAAUUGUAAAAUUUGGAAGGACUUGGUCAUAAUCCCAAGAAGCGUAGUAAGAUCAAUACUAUCAAUAGGAACAAGAAAAAAUAUAAUCAUUGUGGUGGUUCACGUCCUUUCACGAAACACAUGGAAGCUGAAGAACAGAAAGGUAAAAAUGUGACCUAUGUUGAGAAUUGGGGUCUCAUGCAUCAACAUGAGGCAGCAAUGGUGGUGUUUGGAUCAAUGAAGAAGCGGAGAGGACAGGGAAAAAUAUGAUUGAAGAGUUGAUUAAAACCAAGCAACAAUUGGCUGAGUCUGAGGAUACCCCAUUUGAAGAUGUUGUAGUGUCUAUCCCUAUGCAAUUAGAUAUCUUGGCUAAGGAGCUCGAAACUAUGAAGGGUAAGACCAUUCGAGGUGUGGGCUAUGGUAUUAAAAAGGACAGAUUUUGUUCUUCAAUCCCUGCAUCCACGUCUAACCCAACAAAUGCUAAACUUAUGAGAUACAUUAUUCUAUUGGAAGAACGACUUACUUCUCUUGAGGGUGAGAAACAACCUCAACCUCCUACACAUGAUGUGGAUAAAGAGGGUGGUGAGGGUGAUGAGGAUGAGGAUGAGGAUAUGGAUGUGCUUUAGGUGUUGAUAUCCUCAUUAGUUUUUUACAAGUUAUAUUUUGGAUGUACAAAUGAAGCCAUGAUAUUUCCACAUGCAUAGAUAUCCCUUAGUUUAGGGCUUUGGCAGGUUUUUGGGUCUUAGAUGUCCUUUUUAGCUUUUGGAAUGAUACAAUUUGGAUGUAAAAAUGAUGCCUUCAAAUUUCAAAUGCAUCUAGCACUUGAUAUGUAAAUUUUUCAAGUUACUAUCUUUUGUAAAGUACUAGUUGAUAAGCAUGUUAACAUAUAUUUAUGCUA
Molecule: long non-coding RNA, 2640 nt
Organism: Rosa chinensis
Lineage: Eukaryota; Viridiplantae; Streptophyta; Magnoliopsida; Rosales; Rosaceae
Exons: 7
Source: RefSeq, a predicted model, not a curated record